Molecule: long non-coding RNA, 737 nt
Filed under: Rattus norvegicus (Norway rat)
Lineage: Eukaryota; Metazoa; Chordata; Mammalia; Rodentia; Muridae
Description: long non-coding RNA NONRATT019250
Source: RNAcentral
AAAACAGCAAAGCUUCAUGUGGCAGUGAAGGUUUUACAGGCAAUGGGAUACCCAACAGGUUUUGAUGCAGAUAUUGAAUGUAUGAGUUCCGAUGAAAAAUCAGAUAAUGAAAGCAAAAAUGAUACAGUAUCUUCAAACUCAAGCAAUAAUACUGGAAAUUGUACAACUGAGACCUCCAGUACCUUAGAGGUAAGAACUCAGGGUCCUAUCCUCACAGCAAGUGGCAAAAAUCCUGUGAUGGAGCUCAAUGAAAAAAGAAGAGGUCUCAAGUAUGAACUCAUCUCAGAAACUGGUGGAAGCCAUGACAAGCGCUUUGUAAUGGAGAAGUAGAUGGACAGAAAUUCAGAGGUGCAGGUCCAAACAAGAAAGUGGCCAAGGCAAGUGCAGCGCUAGCUGCCCUGGAAAAGCUGUUUUCUGGACCCAAUGCAGCAAAUAAUAAGAAAAAGAAGAUCAUUCCUCAGGCAAAGGGUGUUGUGAAUACGGCAGUAUCUGCAGCAGUCCAGGCAGUUCGAGGCAGAGGAAGAGGAACUCUGACAAGGGGAGCGUUCGUGGGAGCUACAGCAGCUCCUGGAUAUAUAGCUCCAGGUUAUGGAACUCCAUAUGGUUACAGCACAGCUGCCCCUGCAUAUGGUUUGCCCAAGAGAAUGGUUCUGUUACCCGUUAUGAAAUUCCCAACAUAUCCUGUUCCCCACUACUCAUUCUUUUAGCAAAUGACAGAAGCUCAUUCCUAUUGAACA